AGAAUCAACGCUGGCGGCGUGCCUAACACAUGCAAGUCGAACGAGAAAGUGGAGCAAUCCAUGAGUAAAGUGGCGCACGGGUGAGUAACACGUGACUAACCUACCCUUGAGUGGGGGAUAACCUAGGGAAACCUGGGCUAAUACCGCAUAAUACCUUCGGGUCAAAGGAGCAAUUCGCUUAAGGGAGGGGGUCGCGGCCGAUUAGUUAGUUGGCGGGGUAAUGGCCCACCAAGACUAUGAUCGGUAU
This 247-nucleotide ribosomal RNA is filed under the name uncultured bacterium. RNAcentral's name for it is "partial small subunit ribosomal RNA". It matches the Rfam family "Bacterial small subunit ribosomal RNA", at positions 26 to 286 of the family's 1533-position model. The record is from RNAcentral.